Molecule: ribosomal RNA, 316 nt
Filed under: uncultured fungus
Lineage: Eukaryota; Fungi
Description: partial small subunit ribosomal RNA
Rfam family: Eukaryotic small subunit ribosomal RNA
Source: RNAcentral
GCUUGUCUCAAAGAUUAAGCCAUGCAUGUCUAAGUAUAAACGAUUUUAUACGUGAAACUGCGAAUGGCUCAUUAUAUCAGUUAUAGUUUAUUUGAUGGUCCUUACUACUUGGAUAACCGUAGUAAUUCUAGAGCUAAUACAUGCAUCAAGCCCUGACUUCGGAAGGGGUGUAUUUAUUAGAUGGAAACCAAUGCGGGGCAACCCGGAAAAUGGUGAUUCAUAAUAACUUUUCGAACCUCAUGCCUUUAUGGUGGAGGUGAUUCAUUCAAAUUUCUGCCCUAUCAACUUGGCUACCACAUCCAAGGAAGGCAGCAGG